AGAUGCCAGGGUGGUCUGGCUGCCAAAUCAGUCACUCCAUUGAUUGCCAGGGUUGAUUGAGUUGAUCUGGUUGGGUAGCAGGUGUCCCCUUCCCCUCUCACCACUCCGUGUGCAUCCCUCCCAAAGUUGCACAUUUCAUGGAAAAGGAUGACCAUCCCAGAUAGGAGCAUAUCGCUCUUUGGUCAAGGGUGAUUUAUUGAUCAUCUUAUAGCUGAUUUGGGGAUUUAAUUAGAUGAGCUCCUUGGAU
RNAcentral lists this small nuclear RNA (247 nucleotides) under Salvator merianae (Argentine black and white tegu). RNAcentral describes it as "7SK RNA (ENSSMRG00000022147.1)". The stretch from base 1 to 198 matches the Rfam family "7SK RNA". Rfam says of the family: 7SK was discovered as an abundant small nuclear RNA in the mid-70s but a possible function has only recently been suggested. Two independent studies have found that 7SK RNA binds the CDK9/cyclin T complex (known as elongation factor P-TEFb). Lineage: Eukaryota; Metazoa; Chordata; Lepidosauria; Squamata; Teiidae. The record is from RNAcentral.